GACGAACGCUGGCGGCGUGCCUAAUACAUGCAAGUAGAACGCUGAAGCUUGGUGCUUGCACCGAGCGGAUGAGUUGCGAACGGGUGAGUAACGCGUAGGUAACCUACCUGGUAGCGGGGGAUAACUAUUGGAAACGAUAGCUAAUACCGCAUAAGAGUAGAUGUUGCAUGACAUUUGCUUAAAAGGUGCAAUUGCAUCACUACCAGAUGGACCUGCGUUGUAUUAGCUAGUUGGUGAGGUAACGGCUCACCAAGGCAACGAUACAUAGCCGACCUGAGAGGGUGAUCGGCCACACUGGGACUGAGACACGGCCCAGACUCCUACGGGAGGCAGCAGUAGGGAAUCUUCGGCAAUGGACGGAAGUCUGACCGAGCAACGCCGCGUGAGUGAAGAAGGUUUUCGGAUCGUAAAGCUCUGUUGUAAGAGAAGAACGAGUGUGAGAGUGGAAAGUUCACACUGUGACGGUAUCUUACCAGAAAGGGACGGCUAACUACGUG
This 497-nucleotide ribosomal RNA is filed under the name uncultured bacterium. RNAcentral's name for it is "partial 16S ribosomal RNA". It matches the Rfam family "Bacterial small subunit ribosomal RNA", at positions 28 to 507 of the family's 1533-position model. The record is from RNAcentral.